AACACGUGUAAAAUUUCUAGGGGAAUUUUGACAACCCGAAGUAUGUGAAGUGAAAAAGGAAUUGGACACUUUACAACAUGUCAAGCAUUUUUUGAACUCUGAAACAAAUUAGAAGCGACCGCCCAAAGUUUCACGAGUACAACGGUGGGGGAAGAGAGCGCAGAGUCAGGGCCAAUACCGGAGCGACGCUUCCGCCAGUCGCUGACACGUGGGUGCGAAAGCUGCUCCGGACUGGCGGCGGGCGGCAGGAAAGGGCGGAGGCAGGCAACAGCGAGAGGCCGAGCUUCCCAGGAAUGAAUGAGAGGAGAGCAGCGUAGCGAGAGGCCCGUUCUGAGUUAGUUGCCUCGUCGGGAGCUCGCUUGGUUAUCGGCGCGGAGAGUGGGAAGCAGCUGUAGGUUGAUUUGCACCCACCCACCCCCUCCCUCCCUCCUCAGUGGCCGGGGUGCGCCGUCACCCCGAGCUUGAACCGUGAGGGAGCGGCGGAUGAGGCGCGCACCGCGGCUGCCUGCAGCCGGCUGUGGGACAGCACAGGGCCCAGCCGCCGCGGCUUGACUCACCGGCACUCAGCUGCCUUUGCCUCAGUGAUGUGGAGUGUGAGCGUCUCCCCUCAGCGACGUGCGGAGCAUGGAAACUCGCGACGCCCCAAAAGGUACAAACCGUGAGGAGCGGCCAGCGGCGGGGAGCACCGCCGCCGCGCCGAGGCCGCCGGGCCUGCUGUGGGAGCCCAAGUACAGCCUGGUGCAGGAGGUAGGCCGCGGCAGCUACGGCGUGGUGUACGAGGCGGUGGUGAGGAAGAGCGGCGCCCGGGUGGCCAUCAAGAAGAUCCGUUGCGACGCUCCGGAGAACGUGGAGCUGGCCCUGUCCGAGUUCUGGGCGCUGACCAGCCUCAAGCGGCAACACGAGAACGUGAUCCAGUUCGAGGAGUGCGUGCUGCAGCGCAACGGCAUCGCCCAGAAGAUGAGCCAUGGCAACAAGCGCUCCGAGUUCUACCUGCGCCUGGUCGAGACCUCGCUGAAGGGCGAGCGCAUCCUGGGCGCUGGCGAGCCCUGUUACCUCUGGUUCGUUAUGGAGUUCUGCAACGGCGGCGACCUCAACCAGUACGUGCUGUCCCGGAGGCCCGACUCGGCCACCAACACCAGCUUCAUGCUCCAGCUGACCAGCGCCAUCGCUUUUUUGCACAAGAACCACAUAGUCCACCGGGAUCUCAAGCCCGACAACAUCCUGAUUUCCGAGAAGUCUGGAGUUCCCAUUCUCAAAGUGGCCGAUUUCGGCCUCAGUAAAGUCUGCGUUGUGGGCGGUGGAGCGGCGAAUAACAAAAACGUGAACGUCAACAAGUGCUGGCUGUCCUCGGCCUGUGGCUCUGAUUUCUACAUGGCCCCGGAGGUCUGGGAAGGACACUACACGGCUAAAGCGGAUAUUUUUGCUUUGGGAAUAAUUAUAUGGGCCAUGAUUGAACGUAUAACUUUUAUUGAUGCCGAGACUAAGAAAGAACUGCUUGGGACCUACGUUAGGCAGGGCAGUGAGAUUGUACCUGUAGGGGAAGCAUUGCUAGAAAACCCAAAGAUGGAACUACAUAUCCCACAGAAAAGGAGAACUUUCAUGUCUGAAGGGAUCAAGCAACUAAUUAAAGACAUGUUGGCUGCUAAUCCACAGGAUCGCCCAGACGCCUUUGAGUUAGAAACUAGGAUGGACCAGGUCAUUUGUGCUGCCUAAAUUAUCUAUUGUACAAUGGAAACUUGUAAAAGUUCUUGGCUUGCCACCCUCAACCCUUCUCCAACUGUUAAAAUGUGAAAUGCAUUUUGAAAUGUGGAAUAUGUCUAAGCUCAUUGUUACUUUGGUUUGUUGAUGAGCAGACCUAGGAUUUAAAAUCGGAGAAUGUCUUUCAUGUGCUUUGAUUUCAGUAUGCUGCAUAGCAUGUUAUUUCAGCAGUAAGUGCCCUUUUUUUAUAAUCCAUAAAUCAGAGCAAUUUGGCAGUUCUAUCCUUUAUAUAUUUGUAAUAUUAAUAACAUUUUAUUUCUCUUUUGUCUCUGUGCAGGACAGUUUGAAGCAAGUUUUGUUUAGAAAAAGAUCUUUUUACAAUGACCUCCCUCCAGUUUUGGAAACACAUUUUUGCUUCUCCACCCACCCCAUUUUCUUUGUGUUUGAUUCUGGAUUACCUCAUUUUAAUCUCUUGUGUCAUUACCAUGUUUGUAAUUCCCUAGAGGAGCCUUGUUUUCUCAUGGGGGGAAAAGCAAUAAGCUGGAGGUAAUUUUCAACUUAUGAGCAACUUCUGCAGAUAACGUAGGGAAAAGUGACUCUGCCGUGAACCUACUUUACCAUUCAGUAAGAUCUUGCUUAAUUUUGCAUCUGUGUAUAAUUUAAAGAUGUAUCAGCUAAAUUCUGAUUUGAUCUAUUCAAUACUUUGCAUACUGUUUAAAAAUCAUUGGAUGUUUGGGAUGAAAAAGAAUAGGCCUUUUAUUUGUUGAGUAUAAUAGUGGUGAUGCAGAAUUAAUGAAUGAAAAUGUUUUGCUCUGUAGAUAAAUAUGGAGUAUCAUCUGACAUCAAGAAAACUGACAUGUAGAGGUGGAGAACUUGGAACGUAAGCUUUUUCUCAAGUGGAUGGGACUUUCCAUAGAAAUAAAGCUCAACAGCUUCUUUAUCAUACAAAGAUUGGAGACUUGCCACAUUUAGAGCUUCAGUGCUAGCUCAUGUCAGGAUGAGGAAAGCUAUGCAAUUAAAUUGCUCAGAUUUUUUUUGUGUGGGGAGGGUGCUGAGAUGUCGGUGGGGGGUAUUUUGGGGUUUGGGAAAGAUGUUGACCAUGCAAUUAAACUUGUAUUUACACUAUUAUAUUGUACCUUCACUUUAUCUGAUUAAAUGAUGUCCUUGAACAUUUAAUUGGGUGGAUUGAAUUCUUAAUAGUUGUAUGACCCUUGUGCUUAUCUUUUAUUUUUUUGUAAAGUUAUGUAAGUAACAAAAAAUAGAAGCAUCUGCACUUGUCUUUCUGUAUGAUUUUUUAAAUGAUCAGCAUAAGCGACCAGAGUGCCUUAAAUUAUUUUAGAUUUACUGAUGCUAAAUUGAAUUUUAGAAACUUCUAGCUACAAGUAGUUUUUUUUUCCCAGUUACUGUAUUGGGAAAUAGUUCUGAUGGCCUGGGUUGAAGUGUGUCUGGUAAUCUGAUAACCUAGCAAAGAUUGGUUCAGUCAUAAAUUUAGUAGCUUCAUCGAAUGUAGAAUUGAAUAAACAUAACUGUUUGGAAGUUGAAAGUUAACACUUACCAUUGGCACCAGCCUUGCCCCUCCCCCCCCCCCAAUCUCAUCACUCCACCCCUUGUAUUAAAAAAGUGGAACCAGAAAACUGGGUUAUAUAGAGUUAGGUGUUUGGACUUUGAGAUAAAGGAAAUAAAAAUCUAAUUGCUUAGCAACCACAGUUUAAAAAAUGUAUCAGUCAGUUUUACAGGUUACUGAAGUGGUUAAUGUGGAAAUUAGAAAAUAGCCUUUUUUGAUUUUCUUGAGUAUGUAAACUUACUCAAUGCAGUGAUGGCAGGUUUGAGACUUGAAAAAAAAUCCAAGUUUUCAGCAUUCCUGAUUUUUCACCAGCGUUUCUAGAAGAACUGAAUGUUGUGAUUUAAGGUGUGCUAGCCUCUGCAACAUGAAUGGAGUGUCAAUUUUGGUACUUUUAUCAAUUACUGUGCAAUAAGUGAUUUGAAGUCCUUGAUGUGAUACAGUGUAUACCAAAGUAGAAAAGCUUGACCUUUCACCAUUCAGUACACGAAAAUACCCUCAUUAACAGGUAAUUAGAAUAAAUUGUUUUAUUUUUGCCACUAGUUUGAACAUGUAGUAUGGAGGCUGGCUCUCCAAAGUAUUCUGAAGGAUCCCCAGUACAAACGUUACUACUAGGAUGAAACCUGAGAAUUAUGACCAAGAUAUGCAAGUGCCAUCAACUUGCAUCAUUUUAAAAUCUGAUGAUCCAAUUCCAGUGAAGUUCUAUCACAUUCUAACUUGAUCUAUCUCUUUAAUAUCAAAAGUAGUUUAUUAUUUUCAAUGUCAGUUGCAAUAUCAGAACCAUUGAAGUGUAAACUUCAUGAAUUUAAUGAUGCAUUGUGAAAAUAUUUUUAAAAGCCUUCAAGCUUUGAGCAUUGGACUGUAGAUGUGAUCAAAACAUAAAUAUAUGGUAACCAUUUUUAAAUUCAAGUUUGUAUAGCAUUAUUUAUAUAAGCUUAAUAUAUGGCUUUCUCUUUCAGCAGAAUACUGAGUAAUUUGAACAAAUUUAACAAUCAGUUGUAAAGUUUUUUUUGUCAAAAGCUAAUCUGUAAAUAUUGCCUUUUUUUGAGAAAGUGGCCAUAUUUCUGCAAUUGAUUUGUGGUUUGCACUUGGUUUUGCUUAACUCUGUAGUCUAAGCACUAUAAUAUAUCACUUUAAUAGUGAAACUAGGCAAAUUUUAAAACACUAGCCUUGGUUACAAAGAUCUGAAACAAAAUUGCCAAGGUGAGGGUUUACUGUUUCCAGAAAUUAAACAAUCUUAUUAAGCUUUUCAUAUCAAUACCUUAGUGGAUCAGAGAAAUUUCAAGGUUUUCUCCUCACUUUAGGGAUUAAAGAUAUAACUUCGGUCGAUACUGCUAACUAGCAAUUGAAAUAGAAGAACUGUUAAUUUCUUGAAAAUUUAGAAUUGUUACAUUUACAUCUUUCUUAAGAAUGCUCCUCUACUUAAAAUCUACAUACUCUAAUUCAUUUGGAGCAGAAUGCAAGGAUGUAAUUUUAAUGUUUAAUUUUGGAAAUUGAGUUUAAAAUGUGCAGGACUGGUUUUCUUAACUGGGAUUCUUAAUCUGCAAAUUGAGUCUUUCACUUGAGUAUUUCCAAGAAUGUAACAGAUUAAACCUGUAUCAAAUGAUAAUGUCUAGCGAGUCCUUUCCCCAGUUGGGCCAGAUAAAAUGAGUACUCUGUAUUUGCUGAUAUGUGGAUACUUUUAUAAUUGAUGUUAGACUUUCCCUUCAUCCCUGGAGCAGUAUUUCAUUCUGAAUGUGCUUUGAGUAUCUGUGUAAUGUUCUAUUAUGUAUUUAGUGUGUUAGAACAUAGCAAGUUAAAGAAAAUAAUUUGUGUUCUCCAGUAAUUGUUAGAGCUGAAAAUUAUACUCAAGAACAUUUGAAGGAUUCAAGGCAUAGUUAAGAAUUUUUUAAAAAGUCCUUGUUAUAUAGGGACACUGCCAAACAGUAUCUUUAAAAAUACUUAAAAGCAAGAAUGCUCCAAAUUUAGUUUUUUUUCAAAUAAAUUAAUACAGUUUUGAAUGACCUCAUUUACCAGAUCAAUAUGACCACUUUAGCAUCAGGAAAUCAGCUGAAUUUCAAACAAACAAAUGGAGGCUGAAUUGAAAAUAGAAAAAAAUCUGAAAUUUAUAUUGAAACUAAAGCAUUGAUGCUCCUCCUAAUGGGAAGAACAUCUCAUUGAUCUUUUGCCCAACUUGCAUUAAUUAGAGUGAUUGGCCACCAGACAUAUAAGUAUGUACUUGCUUUUCCUUUGCCAUAUAAUGUCCUUUGAAGCCAGUACGACAAUUUGGCUUUGGUAUUGCAGGAAGAUGGCACUUGCAUUUUGAGGUCAAAUCCAAACUGAAAAUCUUGAGUUGCAGUGCUUGUUAAUCUAGGGAUAAAGAUGCUAUAGUUUGAUCUGUGUGCUUUCCUCUACAGUUUAGCUUAUGUAACUGCACGGACAUGUUGCAACAAAUCUUUACAAUCUUAGCAGCUAAACUAUAGGGAAAAAAUGUCUACUAGUAGAUGAGCUGUUCUUUUCAAAGUUACUAAGGAAUAUGGUUCUGGAAAUGGAGGGAAGAAAUGAGGGAACAGGUUCUGAACAUUUUUAUAGGGACACUGCUAGUAGUAACUGAGCGUUUAGGAUAUGUUUACUGAAGAGUUUCUGUGGUUUACAGAAGGAUUUGUUUCAAGAGAAUCCUUGUUUGUUUCUACCUCGUAUGCAGGACAUCACUCAAGUCUUGCUGGCUGAUGUAACACUGCUUGUAUGGUUGAUUUUUGCAAAUGCAUUAAGUUGUUUCCAAGAAUCUUUAUACUUCUAUGCAAAUUUUUUGUAUUCAAAUUUGAAACACUGUAAUACCAUAAUAUCUUUAUGUUGGUCCUUCUGCAUGGAAUACAUCUUGUGGACCAAUAUUGAAUAUUGUUUCAUUUUCUUAUUUAACAUGAUUUGUAGUCUGGACUGGAGCCAUUUGAAUCUUCUAAUAUUGUCUUGGGAAGAAAUUUUGACAUGUUAUUUCAGCAAUAAAGGGUUUUAAAAUGUCA
Molecule: RNA transcript, 6258 nt
Organism: Hypanus sabinus (Atlantic stingray)
Lineage: Eukaryota; Metazoa; Chordata; Chondrichthyes; Myliobatiformes; Dasyatidae
Gene name: serine/threonine-protein kinase 35-like
Exons: 3
Source: RefSeq, a predicted model, not a curated record